RNAcentral lists this ribosomal RNA (511 nucleotides) under uncultured bacterium. RNAcentral's name for it is "partial 16S ribosomal RNA". It matches the Rfam family "Bacterial small subunit ribosomal RNA", at positions 28 to 523 of the family's 1533-position model. The record is from RNAcentral.
GACGAACGCUAGCUACAGGCUUAACACAUGCAAGUCGAGGGGUAACGAGAGGAAAGCUUGCUUUCCCUGUCGACGACCGGCGCACGGGUGAGUAACGCGUAUCCAACCUGCCCCCACCUAGGGAAUAACCUUGCGAAAGUAAGACUAAUACCCUAUAAUUUCCUCAGAUGUCAUCUGACGAGGACUAAAGAUUUAUCGGUGGUGGAUGGUGAUGCGUCUGAUUAGCUUGUUGGCGGGGUAACGGCCAACCAAGGCAACGAUCAUUAGGGGUUCUGGGAGGAAGGGCCCCCGCAUUGAAACUGAGACACGGUCCAACCUCUUACGGGAGGCAGCAGUGAGUAAUAUUGGACAAUGGGCGCAAGCCUGAUCCAGCCAUACCGCCGGCAGAAUGAAGGCCUUCGGGUUGUAAACUGCUUUUGUACGGAACGAAACGGCUCUCUCGAAUACAGGGGGCUAAUGACGGUACCGUAAGAAUAAGCACCGGCUAACUACGUGCCAGCAGCCGCGGUAA